AUUGAACGCUGGCGGCGUGCUUAACACAUGCAAGUCGUGCGGUAACAGGCGUAGCAAUACGUGCUGACGAGCGGCGAACGGGUGCGUAAUACAUGGGAAUCUGCCCUUUAGUGGGGAAUAACCCGGCGAAAGCCGGGCUAAUGCCGCAUAAGAUCUCCGGAUGAAAGCGGGGGACCGUAAGGCCUCGCGCUGAUGGAUGAGCCCAUGUCGGAUUAGCUAGUUGGUGAGGUAACGGCUCACCAAGGCGACGAUCCGUAGCUGGUCUGAGAGGACGGCCAGCCACACUGGGACUGAGACACGGCCCAGACUCCUACGGGAGGCAGCAGUGGGGAAUAUUGGACAAUGGGGGAAACCCUGAUCCAGCGACGCCGCGUGUGUGAAGAAGGCCUGCGGGUUGUAAAGCACUUU
Molecule: ribosomal RNA, 408 nt
Filed under: uncultured bacterium
Lineage: Bacteria
Description: bacterial SSU rRNA
Rfam family: Bacterial small subunit ribosomal RNA
Source: RNAcentral